GGAGUGUGUUUCUCCAGAAGUAGAUAGAUUAACGAAUGUGCGUUUACCACGGAGUGAUUCAUGACUGGGGUGAAGUCGUAACAAGGUAGCCGUAGGGGAAACUGCGGCUGGAUCACCUCCUUA
This 123-nucleotide ribosomal RNA is filed under the name Francisella tularensis subsp. holarctica. RNAcentral describes it as "partial 16S ribosomal RNA". It matches the Rfam family "Bacterial small subunit ribosomal RNA", at positions 1407 to 1533 of the family's 1533-position model. Lineage: Bacteria; Pseudomonadati; Pseudomonadota; Gammaproteobacteria; Thiotrichales; Francisellaceae. The record is from RNAcentral.